AGGAUUAACGCUGGCGGCGUGCAUGAAACAUGCAAGUCGAGCGCGGUACGUGGCUUCGGUCACGUAUCUAGCGGCGCACGGGUGAGUAACACGUGAGCAACCUACCUUCGAGUUCGGGAUAGCCCUGGGAAACCAGGAUUAAUACCGGAUGUGGUCACAACGGGACAUCCCGAUGUGAAAAAAGGCGCAAGCCGCUCGAUGACGGGCUCGCGGCCUAUUAGCUUGUUGGUGGGGUAACGGCCUACCAAGGCGACGAUGGGUAGCUGGUCUGAGAGGACGAUCAGCCACACUGGGACUGAGACACGGCCCAGACUCCUACGGGAGGCAGCAGUUAGGAAUUUUCCGCAAUGGGCGAAAGCCUGACGGAGCAACGCCGCGUGUGUGAUGAAGGCCUUCGGGUUGUAAGCACUGUCGGAGGGGAAGAAGUGAAUGACGGUACCCUCCAAGAAGCCCCGGCGUAACUACGUGCCAGCAGCCGC
Molecule: ribosomal RNA, 479 nt
Filed under: uncultured bacterium
Lineage: Bacteria
Description: SSU rRNA
Rfam family: Bacterial small subunit ribosomal RNA
Source: RNAcentral